UACGAAGGGGGCUAGCGUUGUUCGGAAUUACUGGGCGUAAAGCGCACGUAGGCGGAUAUUUAAGUCAGGGGUGAAAUCCCAGAGCUCAACUCUGGAACUGCCUUUGAUACUGGGUAUCUCGAGUAUGGAAGAGGUGAGUGGAAUUCCGAGUGUAGAGGUGAAAUUCGUAGAUAUUCGGAAGAACACCAGUGGCGAAGGCGACUAACUGGACAUGUAUUGACGCUGAGGUGCGAAAGCGUGGGGAGCAAACAGG
RNAcentral lists this ribosomal RNA (253 nucleotides) under uncultured bacterium. RNAcentral describes it as "partial 16S ribosomal RNA". It matches the Rfam family "Bacterial small subunit ribosomal RNA", at positions 524 to 776 of the family's 1533-position model. The record is from RNAcentral.